GUUUUACCUUGACGAAUUGUAGUUUAAAGAAGUGUUUUCUGUUGGUGUUUUGGUAAAAGUUCUUUGGAAUAGGACAUCAUAGAGGGUGAGAAUCCCGUAUUUGACCAUUACUUCCAGCGUUGUGAUACACUUUCAAAGAGUCGGAUUGUUUGGGAAUGCAGUCCAAAAUGGGUGGUAAAUUUCAUCUAAAGCUAAAUAUUGGCGAGAGACCGAUAGCGAACAAGUACCGUGAGGGAAAGAUGAAAAGAACUUUGAAAAGAGAGUUAAACAGUACGUGAAAUUGUCAAAAGGGAAGCGUUUGACACCAGUGUUGUUUUCUCGAAAGUCAAUUAAAAAGUGUUGGAUUUUGUAUUGUUAAGACCUUAUCAGCUUACUGUACUCUUUUCCUGCACUUUUU
RNAcentral lists this ribosomal RNA (397 nucleotides) under uncultured Neocallimastigomycetes. RNAcentral describes it as "eukaryotic LSU rRNA". It matches the Rfam family "Eukaryotic large subunit ribosomal RNA", at positions 127 to 530 of the family's 3401-position model. The record is from RNAcentral. Lineage: Eukaryota; Fungi; Neocallimastigomycota; Neocallimastigomycetes.